GGGGAAUAUUGGACAAUGGGGGAAACCCUGAUCCAGCAAUGCCGCGUGGAUGAUGAAGGUCUUCGGAUUGUAAAGUCCUUUUGGCGGGGACGAUGAUGACGGUACCCGCAGAAUAAGCUCCGGCUAACUUCGUGCCAGCAGCCGCGGUAAUACGAAGGGAGCAAGCGUUGUUCGGAUUUACUGGGCGUAAAGGGUGUGUAGGCGGUUUUGCAAGUUGGAUGUGAAAGCCCCGGGCUUAACUCGGGAAUAGCAUUCAAGACUGCAUCACUUGAGUAUGGAAGAGGUUGGUGGAAUUCCUAGUGUAGAGGUGAAAUUCGUAGAUAUUAGGAAGAACACCCGUGGCGAAGGCGGCCAACUGGUCCAUAACUGACGCUGAGACACGAAAGCGUGGGGAGCAAAC
This 400-nucleotide ribosomal RNA is filed under the name uncultured bacterium. Its description in RNAcentral is "bacterial SSU rRNA". It matches the Rfam family "Bacterial small subunit ribosomal RNA", at positions 356 to 773 of the family's 1533-position model. The record is from RNAcentral.